RNAcentral lists this ribosomal RNA (479 nucleotides) under uncultured bacterium. RNAcentral's name for it is "bacterial SSU rRNA". It matches the Rfam family "Bacterial small subunit ribosomal RNA", at positions 93 to 553 of the family's 1533-position model. The record is from RNAcentral.
GAGUGUUGCACGGGUGAGUAACACGUAGGUAAUCUACCUUCGGGUGGGGAAUAACCCAGGGAAACUUGGGCUAACACCGCAUAAUGCAGCGGCACCACAUGGUGACAGUUGUUAAAGCGGGGGAUUUCCGAACCUCGCGCCUGAAGAGGAGCCUGCGGCGGAUUAGCUAGUUGGUAAGGUAAACGGUUACCAAGGCAACGAUCCGUACCGGCCUGAGAAGGCGGUCGGCCAACCUGACACUGACAUACGGGUCAAAACUCCUACGGGAGGCAGCAGUCGGGAAUUUUGGGCAAUGGGCGAAAGCCUGACCCAGCAACGCCGCGUGAAGGAUGAAAUCCCUCGGGAUGUAAACUUCGCAAGAAUGGGAAGAAUUAAUAGGGGACAAUACCCCCUAUGAUGACGGUACCAUUUGUAAGCUCCGGCUAACUCCGUGCCAGCAGCCGCGGUAAUACGGGGGGAGCAAGCGUUGUUCGGAUUUA